This 254-nucleotide ribosomal RNA is filed under the name uncultured bacterium. Its description in RNAcentral is "partial 16S ribosomal RNA". It matches the Rfam family "Bacterial small subunit ribosomal RNA", at positions 524 to 776 of the family's 1533-position model. The record is from RNAcentral.
UACGUAGGUGGCAAGCGUUGUCCGGAUUUACUGGGCGUAAAGAGCGCGCAGGCGGUCGUCCAAGUCGCGUGUGAAAGCCCCCGGCUCAACUGGGGAGGGUCAGUGGUAACGGCAGAGCUGUGAGUGCAGGAGAGGGAAGUGGAACUCCGGGAGUAGCGGUGAAAUGCGUAGAGACCCGGAGGAACACCAGUGGCGAAGGCGGCUUCCUGGUCUGCGACUGACGCUGUGGCGCGAAAGCUAGGGGAGCGAACGGG